GAUGAACGCUGGCGGCGUGCCUAAUACAUGCAAGUCGAGCGAACAGACGAGGAGCUUGCUCCUUUGACGUUAGCGGCGGACGGGUGAGUAACACGUAGGUAACCUACCUAUAAGACUGGGAUAACUUCGGGAAACCGGAGCUAAUACCGGAUAAUAUUUCGAACCGCAUGGUUCGAUAGUGAAAGAUGGCUUUGCUAUCACUUAUAGAUGGACCUGCGCCGUAUUAGCUAGUUGGUAAGGUAACGGCUUACCAAGGCAACGAUACGUAGCCGACCUGAGAGGGUGAUCGGCCACACUGGAACUGAGACACGGUCCAGACUCCUACGGGAGGCAGCAGUAGGGAAUCUUCCGCAAAGGGCGAAAGCCUGACGGAGCAACGCCGCGUGAGUGAUGAAGGUCUUCGGAUCGUAAAACUCUGUUAUUAGGGAAGAACAAACGUGUAAGUAACUGUGCACGUCCUGACGGUACCUAAUCAGAAAGCCACGGCUAACUUCGUG
RNAcentral lists this ribosomal RNA (497 nucleotides) under uncultured bacterium. Its description in RNAcentral is "partial 16S ribosomal RNA". It matches the Rfam family "Bacterial small subunit ribosomal RNA", at positions 28 to 507 of the family's 1533-position model. The record is from RNAcentral.